CCUAGCUGUAAACGAUGAACACUAGGCGUUGCUUGUAUCGACCCGAGCAGUGCCGUAGCCAACGCGUUAAGUGUUCCGCCUGGGGAGUACGCACGCAAGUGUGAAACUCAAAGGAAUUGACGGGGGCCCGCACAAGCGGUGGAGUAUGUGGUUUAAUUCGAUGCAACGCGAAGAACCUUACCAGGACUUGACAUCUCGAGAACUGACUCUAAUAGGUCAGGUGCCUUAGGGAACUCGAAGACAGGUGGUGCAUGGCUGUCGUCAGCUCGUGUCGUGAGAUGUUGGGUUAAGUCCCGCAACGAGCGCAACCCUCGUUCUUAGUUGCCAGCAUUAAGUUGGGCACUUUAGGAAGACUGCCGGUGACAAACCGGAGGAAGGUGGGGAUGACGUCAAGUCAGCAUGCCCCUUACGUUCUGGGCUACACACGUACUACAAUGGUUGGGACAAAGGGCAGCGAGCUCGCGAGAGUAAGCGAAUCUCAUCAAACCCAGCCUCAGUUCAGAUUGCAGGCUGCAACUCGCCUGCAUGAAGGAGGAAUCGCUAGUAAUCGCAGGUCAGCAUACUGCGGUGAAUUCGUUCCCGGGCCUUGUACACUCCGCC
Molecule: ribosomal RNA, 600 nt
Filed under: uncultured bacterium
Lineage: Bacteria
Description: bacterial SSU rRNA
Rfam family: Bacterial small subunit ribosomal RNA
Source: RNAcentral